Vicia faba (fava bean) is the source of this 249-nucleotide non-coding RNA. Lineage: Eukaryota; Viridiplantae; Streptophyta; Magnoliopsida; Fabales; Fabaceae. The record is from the annotation of a GenBank genome assembly.
AUGAUUAAGAAUACAGGUGGUUUGAGGAGUUAUGUUAGUGAUGGCGGCGGGAAAUCUCACCACCAUGGUCUCAAUAGAGAAAAUAAAAAGGGAAGUGUGAGAAUGUUGAAGGGAAAAUGGAAAGCCAUAACACCUUUGAAGCCAAAACGCAGCGUAUCACCUCACUCUUUUGAUUCAAUUGCCGUUCGUUUAUUUGGUUAUUUUCAAUGCAAUAAUGGUUGGCUGGAUAAAGAAAAAAGAGAGAAGUAA